RNAcentral lists this unclassified non-coding RNA (594 nucleotides) under Hevea brasiliensis (rubber tree). Lineage: Eukaryota; Viridiplantae; Streptophyta; Magnoliopsida; Malpighiales; Euphorbiaceae. The record is from RNAcentral.
CUCCAUGUGAGGACUUAGGUUGUUGUGGAAUAUUUGAGGGUCACCAAGGCAGAGAAGAAGUGUCACAAGAGGGUAGCCAACAGCUAUAUGUUUACUUUGUUUGUCCAUCCAAUGCAUAAGUUGCACUCUUAUCCUCCCAACAGCUUCAUACCAUAGUGUAAGUGCAUUUUCUACACCUGAAGGGGGCCACUGGCUUUUUCCACCAUCUGCUAGUGGAGCAAGGAUAUUUGAAAGCAUAUUACAAAGUGCAUGGUAAAGCUCACUCUUGCGUUUAUGUGGUGCACGGUUAAGAGGGUUUGCUUUUGCCACAAAGGAAGCUGAAGCAUUCAGUCCUCCCUCAGUUUUAACCCCAAGUUUCAGAUAGCGCAUCCCAUUGAUGAUGCUCAGUGUUUCACUUCGGGCAACAUUAGUGUCAAUCCGUCGAGUGUUUAAUUCCAUAAAAAAGCGUUCAGUUACAGAACUAAACCUGAUACGAGACAAGGCACCUAAGAGUUGAGCAACUAAGUCCAAAAGGAGCCCUCGUAAAUCAACCAACGAGGGAUAGUCAAUCUGGCUAACAACCCUGUCAGCAUUGAUUAGCCAGUCAAAAACAAA